Non-coding RNA from Tirmania nivea, 95 nucleotides. NCBI's taxonomy places the organism in Eukaryota, Fungi, Ascomycota, Pezizomycetes, Pezizales, Pezizaceae. The record is from the annotation of a GenBank genome assembly.
GGUUCUAUGGCGCAAUUGGUUAGCGCGUCCGGCUGUUAAGGGCGUAUGGCCACUAGCAUACCGGGAGGUUGAAAGUUCGAGUCUUUCUAGUACCG